UGGGGAAUUUUGGACAAUGGGCGAAAGCCUGAUCCAGCAAUGCCGCGUGUGUGAAGAAGGCCUUCGGGUUGUAAAGCACUUUUGUCCGGAAAGAAAUCCUUGGCUCUAAUACAGUCGGGGGAUGACGGUACCGGAAGAAUAAGCACCGGCUAACUACGUGCCAGCAGCCGCGGUAAUACGUAGGGUGCAAGCGUUAAUCGGAAUUACUGGGCGUAAAGCGUGCGCAGGCGGUUUGCUAAGACCGAUGUGAAAUCCCCGGGCUCAACCUGGGAACUGCAUUGGUGACUGGGCAGGCUAGAGUAUGGCAGAGGGGGGUAGAAUUCCACGUGUAGCAGUGAAAUGCGUAGAGAUGUGGAGGAAUACCGAUGGCGAAGGCAGCCCCCUGGGCCAAUACUGACGCUCAUGCACGAAAGCGUGGGGAGCAAACAGGAUUAGAUACCCUGGUAGUCCACGCCCUAAAACGAUGUCAACUAGUUGUUGGGGAUUCAUUUCCUUAGUAACGUAGCUAACGUGUGAAGUUGACCGCCUGGGGAGUACGGUCGCAAGAUUAAAACUCAAAGGAAUUGACGGGGUCAUAGCUGUUUCCU
This 587-nucleotide ribosomal RNA is filed under the name uncultured bacterium. RNAcentral describes it as "partial 16S ribosomal RNA". It matches the Rfam family "Bacterial small subunit ribosomal RNA", at positions 355 to 1375 of the family's 1533-position model. The record is from RNAcentral.